CUUCUACAAGGAGGUUCAGGGAGGAGCCAGCAUCUGGUGACAGGUUUUUCACAGGCUGUAAUUAGUAUUUGAAACAGAUAUUUUGCAUUGUCAGGCAGGGAUUCUGUGUCACCUAGAAUAAAGAUAGCAAAUUUAAAAGGUAUUCUUAUAUUCUAGAUAUUUUCAAUAGUUUUGUGUAUUUCUAUCCAACAGUGUCUUAUAAUUGUACAGUCCCAGAAUAUAUGCCAGUGGUUUGGUUCUGUGUUUCCACAUUGCCUCCAGCAUUUAGGCUCUGCCCUGGUACAAUAAAUUUUCUGUUUUGGUGUUAUAAAAAAUCUAAUCAGGCAUGUCCAGUUAAAUUCUCUCCAUGAGUACGAAUCGGUACAUCUCCAAACUGUCACAAAUUAACUGUUCCAUUCUUCUGUGAUUUCCAUUUUACUUUCAUUUUCCUAUUUUGUUUUCACAUAUGAAGUUGAAUAUGUUUUUUUACUCAUAAAUCCCUUGUAUAACCGUAAUACCUUUUUUUAGAUUUUGCCUGAUAUUCAACUAAUGGUCAUUUUAACAGUUCAAUGACUGCAAUCAAACAAAAAUAACAGGCACAGGUCUGGCUACUUUGGAGGAAAAACAUAAAGAGCAAGUUUUCUGGGGGAAACCUUGAACCUUGUUUUCAAUGUUGAUUGCUAUGGCAUUUUAAAAAACACAUAUGUUUUAUUCCUCAUAUUCCUAAAUAUGAGGAAAUAUAAUGAGAUUUUGUGUAAUUUAGUUAUGCCACAUAUUUAAAGUGUGCAUAAUAUGAAAAUUUAUUCCACCUCUAUUUUGUGAUGAAGGAUGUAAUGUUCAGUUUUGGCUGUGUUUGGAUGAAGUGCAUGUCCUGACUUCACAAUUUUUAUCAUUUUCACUUGUUUCAGGUUUAGGUAACUCAUUUUGAGUUAAAACAUAAUAGCCUGAGGGCCACAUGUGUUCAGAUAAGGAUUAGCUCAAUUGGAAAUCAGGUCAGGCUACUGACCGUACAGCAGUUUCUCACAGGGCUGACGGGCGUCUACAUAGUACCCAGGAUUAAGUAAUAUCAGUGGGUAGUGGUGCUGGGGAAAAACAAUUUCCGUUUAAUUAUUGUCUAAAAAAUUACUAUAAUGACAAUAAAGAUUGCCUUUAUAAUGCAAUAUGACAGACAUAGGGUAUGCCAUUGUGACAAUAAUAUGACAUAUCAGACUAUAUUUGGAAGCACUAAUUAACUAUUUGGAGCAACCAGUAGAUCAGUUUUACAAGUCAAAGAAGCAGCACCCAGUGUUCUAAAUGCUGUUUGAAUUAUUUUAUACUAAAGUUGAAUAAUACUUUUGUAGUCUUACUAAAAUGAAUUCAAUAUGAAUGGCACUAUUAAGAUUUUUUUCUUCUUGUUUCCUCAUGUCUGGUAAAGGAAAUUUAUGUAUUUAGUUUAUAGUUUUUAAAAAUAUAUCUUGAUAGUUAUAGAUUAUUUUAAAUGGGUCCUUCACUUUUGUAAUCUGAAUUGUUCAUCUAUCUGAAUUGUCUAUCUAUUAUGAUAAUCAUUGAAAUUGUUCAUGAAGCAUCUAAAAAAAUCCAUGGCAGCCUGGUUUUGCUGGUGCUCCUUUUUUGUAUGCUUAGUGCCCAUUUUAUAAGAAAGUGAAUUUGAAGUGUUAUUUACUUAAGGUUGAUUAUGUAAUCUGAUAUUUAAUACAGGCAAGAUAUCUACUUGAUAAGUUUCCCACACAACUCCAUCUCAAAAACCAUCCACAUAGUGCAUAAAUAAAAUCAAAUUUUCAUGUUGCUAGUAAUAGCAACUUAGCAACUUAUUGUAAAAUAAGUAUAAAAUUAAGUCUUUGAAAGCAAUAUUUAGUCACAAGACAAGUCUUAUCUGUUAUGUGACUACAAUUAAACACCAAAAAUUGUUAAUCUUUUUUAUUUUACCAACAUUUUCUUUUCUAACAGGGAGACCUGAGUCUAAUGUAGAAUCUGUGAAGGGACCUAAAGACUGAAGUGAUGGCAGGGAGGUCUUCCAACCUGCAAGUUGGAGCUCAUCACCAAAAAUCUGUUUCUAGAGUAAACGGUAAAAAUGCCAGUCCACCAGGGGUAUGAAUAAAUUAGGGUUAACCUGUCCAAAGAAAACUUUGAAUAAUUUGAAUCAGGGUGUAGACUUUGACUUUCUGAAAAAAACAAAGGGUUUUCCCACAUUAAUUUGAAAUUUAAUUUAAAACCUUUUCAUGCAUCAGAAAUAUUCUCCACCACAUUUUGACCCUUUAUACUUGGAAAAUGUGAACAAUUAUUAUUAUAAUUAUUAUUAUUAUUAUUAUUUGACAUCUUUGCAGUGUCCUGGUUUUUCUGCUGAAUCAGUAAGUCAGACACCGGAACACACUAUGAGGAAACCUUGGUUCCUCUUGUGGUUUGAACUGAAGACAAGUAAACACAGGUGUGAUAUCAGGCUUUG
Long non-coding RNA from Poecilia latipinna (sailfin molly), 2419 nucleotides. RefSeq lists it as uncharacterized. The record is from RefSeq and is a predicted model, not a curated record. The transcript is spliced from 3 exons. Lineage: Eukaryota; Metazoa; Chordata; Actinopteri; Cyprinodontiformes; Poeciliidae.